CAACCUCAACUCAUAUGGGACUACUCCCUGAAUUUAAGCAUAUUAAUUAGGGGAGGAAAAGAAACUAACAAGGAUUUUCUUAGUAGCGGCGAGCGAAAAGAAAUCAGUUCAGCACUAAGUCACUUUGUCUAUAUGGCAAAUGUGAGAUGCAGUGUACGGAACAUCAACAUUCUAGUAUGAGAAGUUAACGAUUUAAGUCCUUCUUAAAUGAGGCCAUUUACCCAUAGAGGGUGCCAGGCCCGUAUAACGUUAAUGAUUACUAGAUGGUGUUUCCAAAGAGUCGUGUUGCUUGAUAGUGCAGCACUAAGUGGGUGGUAAACUCCAUCUAAAACUAAAUAUAACCAUGAGACCGAUAGUAAACAAGUACCGUGAGGGAAAGUUGAAAAGAACUCUGAAUAGAGAGUUAAAUAGUACGUGAAACUGCUUAGAGGUUAAGCCCGAUGAACCUGAAUAUCCGUUAUGGAAAAUUCAUCAUUAGAAU
This 481-nucleotide non-coding RNA is filed under the name Drosophila virilis. RNAcentral's name for it is "Eukaryotic large subunit ribosomal RNA". It matches the Rfam family "Eukaryotic large subunit ribosomal RNA", at positions 1 to 464 of the family's 3401-position model. The record is from Rfam by way of RNAcentral. Lineage: Eukaryota; Metazoa; Arthropoda; Insecta; Diptera; Drosophilidae.